AAGCAUAUCAAUAAGCGGAGGAAAAGAAACCAACAGGGAUUGCCUUAGUAACGGCGAGUGAAGCGGCAAAAGCUCAAAUUUGAAAUCUGGCGCCUUCGGUGUCCGAGUUGUAAUUUGAAGAAGGUAACUUUGGAGUUGGCUCUUGUCUAUGUUCCUUGGAACAGGACGUCACAGAGGGUGAGAAUCCCGUGCGAUGAGAUGCCCAAUUCUAUGUAAAGUGCUUUCGAAGAGUCGAGUUGUUUGGGAAUGCAGCUCUAAGUGGGUGGUAAAUUCCAUCUAAAGCUAAAUAUUGGCGAGAGACCGAUAGCGAACAAGUACAGUGAUGGAAAGAUGAAAAGAACUUUGAAAAGAGAGUGAAAAAGUACGUGAAAUUGUUGAAAGGGAAGGGCUUGAGAUCAGACUUGGUAUUUUGCGAUCCUUUCCUUCUUGGUUGGGUUCUCCGCAGCUUACUGGGCCAGCAUCGGUUUGGAUGGUAGGAUAAUGAUUAAGGAAUGUGGCUCUACUUCGGUGGAGUGUUAUAGCCUUGGUUGAUACUGCCUGUCUAGACCGAGGACUGCGUCUUUGACUAGGAUGCUGGCAUAAUGAUCUUAAGCCACCCGUCUUGAAACACGGACCAAGGAGUCUAACGUCUAUGCGAGUGUUUGGGUGUAAAACCCGUACGCGUAAUGAAAGUGAACGUAGGUGAGAGCUCUUAAGAGUGCAUCAUCGACCGAUCCUGAUGUCUUCGGAUGGAUUUGAGUAAGAGCAUAGCUGUUGGGACCCGAAAGAUGGUGAACUAUGCCUGAAUAGGGUGAAGCCAGAGGAAACUCUGGUGGAGGCUCGUAGCGGUUCUGACGUGCAAAUCGAUCGUCGAAUU
RNAcentral lists this ribosomal RNA (856 nucleotides) under Debaryomyces nepalensis. Its description in RNAcentral is "partial large subunit ribosomal RNA". It matches the Rfam family "Eukaryotic large subunit ribosomal RNA", at positions 36 to 911 of the family's 3401-position model. The record is from RNAcentral. Lineage: Eukaryota; Fungi; Ascomycota; Pichiomycetes; Serinales; Debaryomycetaceae.